UGAGCUGUCCGCACGGAAUCUAAAAGAAAAAAAAAAAAUGAAGGACGUGAGGCUCAGACGUGUCUCAAAUGAAGUUUACUAUAUGCGAGAAGACAGACCACGAGCUCACCUUCUGCCGGGUCCUAAUCAAAGCUUGUGACAGCUGUUUGAAAGUCAUCUGUUACCACCAUGGUCGCCAGUUACGAGAUGAAAGCCAGUGUCUGUCAGGACUGUUGUAGGAGGUGGACCACCAACUAGAACAGCUAUCUUUUAUUAAUAACUAUGCAGGAUUGCAAGACCGCCCAGCCCUUACGUGGCACUCGGGAGGUGGUACACAACUUCACAAAUUCGUUGAACAGGAAGGCAAGUGACAUGCUGCCUGACAGAGUGACUUCUAUUUCUGAAAGAUGAAGUUUUAAAAAUUGAAUUAAUAAAUGAAAUGAAAUAAAUUUGUAGGAAGGGUUUUUAAAUGUCCUCAAUUGCUUUAUUAUUCCUAAAAUUACUUUUACAAAUGCUAAAUUUC
Long non-coding RNA from Lemur catta (Ring-tailed lemur), 502 nucleotides. RefSeq lists it as uncharacterized. The transcript has 3 exons. Lineage: Eukaryota; Metazoa; Chordata; Mammalia; Primates; Lemuridae. The record is from RefSeq and is a predicted model, not a curated record.